UGAGGAAUAUUGCGCAAUGGGGGCAACCCUGACGCAGCAACGCCGCGUGGACGAUGAAGGCCUUCGGGUUGUAAAGUCCUUUUCUGAGGGACGAUAAUGACGGUACCUCAGGAAUAAGUCCCGGCUAACUACGUGCCAGCAGCCGCGGUAAAACGUAGGGGGCGAGCGUUAUCCGGAUUUACUGGGCGUAAAGCGCACGUAGGCGGCGCUGUAAGUUGGACGUGAAAGCUCCCGGCUCAACUGGGAGAGGUCGUUCAAUACUGCAGUGCUUGAGGUUGGAAGAGGAGAGUGGAAUUCCCGGUGUAGUGGUGGAAUGCGUAGAUAUCGGGAGGAACACCAGUGGCGAAGGCGGCUUUCUGGUCCACACCUGACGCUGAGGUGCGAAAGCGUGGGGAGCGAACGGG
This 404-nucleotide ribosomal RNA is filed under the name uncultured Anaerolineae bacterium. RNAcentral describes it as "bacterial SSU rRNA". It matches the Rfam family "Bacterial small subunit ribosomal RNA", at positions 355 to 776 of the family's 1533-position model. Lineage: Bacteria; Bacillati; Chloroflexota; Anaerolineae. The record is from RNAcentral.